This 400-nucleotide ribosomal RNA is filed under the name uncultured bacterium. Its description in RNAcentral is "bacterial SSU rRNA". It matches the Rfam family "Bacterial small subunit ribosomal RNA", at positions 355 to 747 of the family's 1533-position model. The record is from RNAcentral.
UGGGGAAUCUUCCGCAAUGGACGAAAGUCUGACGGAGCAACGCCGCGUGAGUGAUGACGGCCUUCGGGUUGUAAAGCUCUGUUAUAUGGGACGAACGUGCCAUAGGCCAAUACCCUAUGGCAGUGACGGUACCGUAAGAGAAAGCCACGGCUAACUACGUGCCAGCAGCCGCGGUAAUACGUAGGUGGCAAGCGUUGUCCGGAAUUAUUGGGCGUAAAGGGCGCGCAGGCGGCCUGUCAAGUCUGUCUUAAAAGUGCGGGGCUCAACCCCGUGAGGGGAUGGAAACUGACAGGCUGGAGUGUCGGAGAGGAAAGCAGAAUUCCUAGUGUAGCGGUGAAAUGCGUAGAUAUUAGGAGGAAUACCAGUGGCGAAAGCGGCUUUCUGGACGACAACUGACGCU